Molecule: ribosomal RNA, 253 nt
Filed under: uncultured bacterium
Lineage: Bacteria
Description: partial 16S ribosomal RNA
Rfam family: Bacterial small subunit ribosomal RNA
Source: RNAcentral
UACGUAGGGGGCUAGCGUUGUCCGGAAUCAUUGGGCGUAAAGCGCGCGUAGGCGGCCCAGUAAGUCCGUUGUAAAAGUCAAAGGCUCAACCUUUGAAAGCCGAUGGAUACUGCUGGGCUAGAGUCCGGAAGAGGCGAGUGGAAUUCCUGGUGUAGCGGUGGAAUGCGCAGAUAUCAGGAGGAACACCGAUAGCGAAGGCAGCUCGCUGGGACGGUACUGACGCUGAGGCGCGAAAGCUAGGGUAGCAAACGGG